This 682-nucleotide long non-coding RNA is filed under the name Olea europaea (common olive). Its description in RNAcentral is "long non-coding RNA (OEUR_LNC014965)". The record is from RNAcentral. Lineage: Eukaryota; Viridiplantae; Streptophyta; Magnoliopsida; Lamiales; Oleaceae.
AGUCUCUUGCUUAGGUGUAAAGUCACAUGUCCACUUAAGGACUCUCAUCGGACAACCAUCAAUAUACCAUGAAGGUUUAAGAAAAAGCCUGCUGUAAUCCUCCUCAUGUGUAAGGUGUAUAAGAAUGUGUGUUGUGUCAAUCAGUCCCACCUCGAAACAACCAUGGAACCCAAACUUAGAAAAAAUCUCACGUACCUUCCUCAUGAUUGGCUUGCGAUGUGGAAAUUUCCCCACAAGUGUAUACUUGUAAGGAUCAGCGAGUGUAGCCUCCUCGGACUCAGUCAAAACUAUUGCCGGCUCACCCAUAUGUAUAAAGGGUUCUUUAGCAGGAAACCCAGCAGUGGAAGAGUCAUCUAUACCCUGUACAACCGAUGCAAACGACUUCCGUGAACUCCGUUCAGCUUGAGACAGGCCCGGACGGCUAGAAACUGCAGUUGCAUAUGUCUUUCGGCCCUGAUUGAGCACUGUCUGGGCCUCAUGUGGAAAAACCGAUGAUGAAAAUGGAUUCAAAUUAACUGGAAGAACAUUCUGAUCAAAAGUUGCCGGAGGGCCGCCGGGACGCCGCCGGCCGGCCGCUAGCGGCUCCGUUUUCCGGCCAAAAUCAACCGGAGGCAGAAAUUUAUGAUUUUCAACAAUCUUGUGCGGAAUUUCAUGCUGAAUAACGCGGUCAGGCGCGUUUCCC